RNAcentral lists this long non-coding RNA (2667 nucleotides) under Helianthus annuus (common sunflower). Lineage: Eukaryota; Viridiplantae; Streptophyta; Magnoliopsida; Asterales; Asteraceae. The record is from RNAcentral.
AUCUAUAUAUCUAUAUAUAUAAUAUAUGAAUAAAAUGUGGGACACGUGUCAAGUGGUGGUGCAACCACAAUAGAUUUUUGGCGGGAAAAAUGUGAGAAACCUUAUAUUUUCACACGGGAUCCGCAUGUGGUAUAUCCAUACCCGUUUUUUAGCCCCGGGUAUAAAAACUAUCUAAUUAGACUAGAUCUCUCAAACACAUCAUUCUUCUCAUUCACGCUUUCAUUCAAGCGUACAAAACCCUAAUUUUGUUCAUCGCCGACAAGCAAAUCUACCACCAUCUCUUUCGAUUUCAUUAGCAUCUGCAUUGUUUUGGGUUUUAUCUCAUCUUUUGUGACAACCAAUCUAUGGUGCUGAGUUGAUUGAUUCAGUUCUGGAUUUCCAACGAGCGAUAUUGAAGUAGAGAUCUCUAAAGCAAUGGUGUGGUAACUCAAGUGGCGGCGGCGGUGGUGGUGUAAUUAUUUCGAUUCAACCAACCAUCUGAUUGGGGGCUCUUUAUGGAAUGAAAUAUUAACUGACUUCAAUGUUAAGUUUACUGAAAGCUUUUGAUGGGAGGCAUUAGCAUAAAAGCUUCUGGUGGUCAUUGAUAUCUUUUAGUGUUGGUAAUAUCAUAUUCCUUUUCAUUCCUAAAUUUUCUGAUGAGCUGAAGGAGGAAAAGCUGCCCGUUUACCUGGACUAUUUUUAAGGAUUUGAAUGGGAAUUUAGAUUAGUGAGUCGGAAGAGACAAUGUUUGAUUUGUUAUAUGAUUCCAGAGUAAAAAAAAGUAUGGGGGACCACAAACGUGGGCGACAUUGGCUUAAAUAAAAUCAACUGGGGUUCCGCUGUUGGAUAUGUAUCGUGCUGAAUCGUCAGGACAACAUGGAACUUGAUGAAGUUGCGCGUUUGGACAAAGAAAGUAAAAUACGCCCCAGUCCUGAAAUUGGCAUACUCUGUUGAUGGGGAAAUGCAUAGCAUCUCAAUAGAUUACAUAGUGAUAUGCUCAGGUGGUCAGAGAAAGAGAUACUACAGGCCAGUUUCUCUCUUUUCCUAUGUUGCAUAUAUGUUUUCUGCUUGGGGUGUUUUAGGUUUUAACAUCCAGGCCUCAUUGUACAUAGGCAAAUCUGUCAUGCAUAUUUGGUUACUGUUGUGUCCGCAUGGGGUUAUGUUUUUCUUAAACAAUAGCUGAUAAAAACAUGUAAUUGUAGGUGAGAUGGUGGUUGGUCCAAGACCCUUUUUAAUGGUUGAGAUAUCAACGAGACUAACUAGCUCAACUAGAUACCGAAAUGUGAAGAUAGUUUUUUGAACAGAUUCAAUUUUUUAUCCCCUUUCAGGACUUCCAGAGUGAUUGAUUUUUUCGUUUCUUAAUGGAUAAUCAAGGAAACCCAGAUUAAAAGCACAUGUCUCUAGAAAGAGAGAACUCUUAUUUUACAUGUCACCCGAAUGUAUUGUUCGCAUUCGCAUUUACAGUCAGAAGCUGGAUGUCUAAUGCUUUACUUAUUUAUUGAUCAAUAUGCAUAGAAAUAUCCCAUCAAGUAGCAUCUGGUCCUUCAAGUCACCUGUUUUAUAACUUAUAAACAUGUUUUGUUGUGCAGCAUCGAGAUAACAUUAAAAAGUAUGGCAAGAUGCCUCUUGGACUACCAUCAGAUGGUAAUAAGAAGAAGCCAUCUCAGGAUCAUCAUCUUGAGGACAGGUUCGCCAAGAUGCGUCUUACACCAUCUGAUGAAAUUCCACUUCCUGUAUAUACCAAGGUUAAGAAGGCAGUUGACAUCAUGAGUGGUCCUAAGGAAGCCAGUAGUUAUCUCGAUGAUUUGGAAAGAGCUGAGUAUGGAAUUCGCGUGGCUACUAAGGUCUAUAGAUGUUUUCUUCCACUUGGCUGGAAAUAUGAUCGAGAGAGUGCUAGCUUCUUUAUUACCGGCUAUGACAAGAUUUAUACAAGGAAGGACGGGAAAAAAAUCAUUAUGCGUUUAGCUUCAUAAAUGUCAACAAACUAUGUUUUUUAAUCAAUGCAUGUCUUGUAGUUUUCCAGUCACAUUCAAUAACCGACAACAGGCCAUAGAAACUAGAAAGGUGGGUACUUUUCACAUGAAUGAGGUUCUAGCCAAGAAAGGUGGGUACUUUUCACCUGAUUCGCCAAGUGGAAGUGCAUCACUACUGCGGCCAUCUGAACGAAGACACGUGACAAUGUCUGGUCUACGACUGGCCCGAUGCCGAUGCGCGGUUGAUCGGGCUGGAAUAAAUAGUAACUGAAGAACAGUUUUUAACUCUUCCGGACACCAAAAAACCGAUGUGGCAUAGCCACGAGUGUAUGGUGAAGAGCGGCGUGCUCUUCCUUCCCGGUGUUCCCGGUCCGGUUGAACGAAAAGAUCUUGAGAAAGUGGCGAAAACAUAUGGGAAGACCAUACACUUUUGGCAGGUGGAUAGAGGUGAUGAACUGCCGCUCGGGUUACCACAGGGUUUAACAGGGUUUAACGAAGAUAAAGCGAUGUAGAAGUGUAUCUUCAGUACACGCAAAAAUCUCUUGAAAUGCUCAUCAAGAUCUCAAAGAUUUGAGAGCUUUAAAGACCAAAGGAUUAGAACAAAUUUAUAUUGUAUUUUUUGAUAUCGUAUAUUGUGAAUAUUAAAUUCAGUUACUAGCAUGUUUUAAUAAACCUUUGGAAGGAGUCACCUUUGGUAUAAAUAUAGCAAUUGUUU